GGGCCCUUGGUGGAGGCGGUAGCCCUGCUUUGCAAGCAGGAUGUCAGGAGUUCGAAUCUCCUAGGCUCCA
Non-coding RNA from Microbacterium sp. GCS4, 70 nucleotides. NCBI's taxonomy places the organism in Bacteria, Bacillati, Actinomycetota, Actinomycetes, Micrococcales, Microbacteriaceae. The record is from Rfam.